RNAcentral lists this transfer RNA (62 nucleotides) under Lymexylon navale. RNAcentral describes it as "tRNA-Leu". Lineage: Eukaryota; Metazoa; Arthropoda; Insecta; Coleoptera; Lymexylidae. The record is from RNAcentral.
AUUAUUUUGGCAGAAUAGUGCAAUAAAUUUAGAAUUUAUAUAUGUAUAAUAUACAAAUAAUA